AGUGAACGCUGGCGGUAGGCCUAACACAUGCAAGUCGAACGGCAGCACAGUAAGAGCUUGCUCUUACGGGUGGCGAGUGGCGGACGGGUGAGGAAUACAUCGGAAUCUACUUUUUCGUGGGGGAUAACGAAGGGAAACUUACGCUAAUACCGCAUACGACCUACGGGUGAAAGCAGUGGAUCUUCGGACCUUGCGCGAUUGAAUGAGCCGAUGCCGGAUUAGCUAGUUGGCGGGGUAAAGGCCCACCAAGUCGACGAUCCGUAGCUGGUGUGAGAGGAUGAUCGGCCACACUAGAAGUUGGACACGGUCCAGGCUCCUACGGGAGGCAGCAGUGGGGAAUAGUGGACAGUGGUCGCAAGCCUGAUCCAGCCGUACGGCGUGGGUGAAGAAGGCCUUCGGGUUGUGAAGCCCUUUUGUUGGGAAAGAAAAGCAGCAGGUUGAUACCCCGCUGUUCUGACGGUACCCAAAAAAUAAGCACCGGCUAACUUCGUG
This 492-nucleotide ribosomal RNA is filed under the name uncultured bacterium. Its description in RNAcentral is "partial 16S ribosomal RNA". It matches the Rfam family "Bacterial small subunit ribosomal RNA", at positions 29 to 507 of the family's 1533-position model. The record is from RNAcentral.